RNAcentral lists this ribosomal RNA (490 nucleotides) under uncultured bacterium. Its description in RNAcentral is "partial 16S ribosomal RNA". It matches the Rfam family "Bacterial small subunit ribosomal RNA", at positions 32 to 507 of the family's 1533-position model. The record is from RNAcentral.
AUUUAACGCUGGCGGCAGGCCUAACACAUGCAAGUCGAACGGUAACAGGAAGAAGCUUGCUUCUUUGCUGACGAGUGGCGGACGGGUGAGUAAUGUCUGGGAAACUGCCUGAUGGAGGGGGAUAACUACUGGAAACGGUAGCUAAUACCGCAUAACGUCGCAAGACCAAAGAGGGGGACCUUCGGGCCUCUUGCCAUCGGAUGUGCCCAGAUGGGAUUAGCUAGUAGGUGGGGUAACGGCUCACCUAGGCGACGAUCCCUAGCUGGUCUGAGAGGAUGACCAGCCACACUGGAACUGAGACACGGUCCAGACUCCUACGGGAGGCAGCAGUGGGGAAUAUUGCACAAUGGGCGCAAGCCUGAUGCAGCCAUGCCGCGUGUAUGAAGAAGGCCUUCGGGUUGUAAAGUACUUUCAGCGGGGAGGAAGGGAGUAAAGUUAAUACCUUUGCUCAUUGACGUUACCCGCAGAAGAAGCACCGGCUAACUCCGUG